This 460-nucleotide ribosomal RNA is filed under the name uncultured bacterium. RNAcentral describes it as "partial 16S ribosomal RNA". It matches the Rfam family "Bacterial small subunit ribosomal RNA", at positions 338 to 795 of the family's 1533-position model. The record is from RNAcentral.
CCUACGGGCGGCAGCAGUGAGGAAUAUUGGUCAAUGGCCGGAAGGCUGAACCAGCCAUGCCGCGUGAAGGUCAGUGCCCUAUGGGCGUUAAACUUCUUUUGUGCGGGAGCAAUAAUGGUCACGUGUGGCCAGACGAGAGUACCGUACGAAUAAGCAUCGGCUAACUCCGUGCCAGCAGCCGCGGUAAUACGGGGGAUGCAAGCGUUAUCCGGAUUUAUUGGGUUUAAAGGGUGCGUAGGCUGUGAGGUAAGUCAGCGGUGAAAUGCCCCCGGUCAACGGGGUGAAGUGCCAUUGAUACUGCCUGGCUGGAAUGCGGAUGCCGUGGGAGGAAUGUGUGGUGUAGCGGUGAAAUGCAUAGAUAUCACACAGAACACCGAUUGCGAAGGCAUCUCACGAAUCCGCGAUUGACGCUGAUGCACGAAAGCGUGGGUAUCAAACAGGAUUAGAUACCCGGGUAGUC